GACGAACCGAGCGAACGUUGUUCGGAAUCAUUGGGCGUAAAGAGCGUGUAGGCGGUCCGGUAAGUCCGCUGUGAAAGUCGGGGGCUCAACCCUCGAAUGCCGGUGGAUACUGUCGGGCUAGAGUGCGGAAGAGGCGAGUGGAAUUCCUGGUGUAGCGGUGAAAUGCGCAGAUAUCAGGAGGAACACCUAUUGCGAAGGCAGCUCGCUGGGACGUAACUGACGCUGAGACGCGAAAGCGUGGGGAGCAAACAGG
Molecule: ribosomal RNA, 253 nt
Filed under: uncultured bacterium
Lineage: Bacteria
Description: partial 16S ribosomal RNA
Rfam family: Bacterial small subunit ribosomal RNA
Source: RNAcentral